Molecule: RNA transcript, 7266 nt
Organism: Eucalyptus grandis
Lineage: Eukaryota; Viridiplantae; Streptophyta; Magnoliopsida; Myrtales; Myrtaceae
Gene name: serine/threonine-protein kinase prpf4B
Exons: 14
Source: RefSeq, a predicted model, not a curated record
AUCGUAAGCUCGAGCCCUUCCCUCUCCUCCCCUCUCUCUCUCUCCGGGGCCCGAUAAACAAAACCGAGGCGCUACCCGAACUUGGAAUCCUUCGAAUCGAAACCUCACCUGGCCUCGCCUCACUCUUCUUUCCUCUCCGAUUCCGCACCUCUUAAAAUUCCUCUCCCCCUCUCUCCCCGCUCGCCGCCGCGUACCGAUCGGUGCGAUUCAUUCCGGCGCGCGCGACCGCGGAACCCUAGCUCCGACCCCGGCCCCCUCUCCCCCCGAAUCCGAUUCCCGACCGCCGUCCCCCUCUCCCCCCGAAUCCGAUUCCCGACCGCCGUCCCCAUGGCGAGCGGCGCCGCCGAGGGCGAGCCCCGCCGCAGCAAGCACCGCCGCUCCCCCUCCUCCCCCUCCUCCCCCCGCGGCGGCGGUGGCGGCGGCGGCGACGAGGAGGACGCGGAUAGGGCCUCGAAGAGGCACAAGCACCGCCACCACCGGGGGCAUCGACACGGCCGCGGCCACCGCCACGCCGGCAAGAAGGCCGAGGAGGAGGCCGGUUCCGGAGGCGACGGCGUCGAUUCUCCUUCCCCUCCUCCUCCACCUCCUUCACCGCCUGCUCCUGAUACUGCUGUUGCCUUGCCUCCUCCUCCGCCGCGGCCGCCGGCCUCUUCGAGGCGCGAUGACGACGUGGAGGAAGGAGAGAUUCUCGACGAAGAGGGUUCUGAGCCUGCCGAGGAGCUUGACUGCAAGAAUCUGGUAAAUGAAUCCGAAUCUGGUGUGCCGCCUGCCGAAAGAAGCGAUGGAGUUGUUUCUGGAAAUUCAAAGUUGAUGGUUGAUGAACUCCAGUCAGCAGUUGCCAAUGAUAGUAAAGUAAAUGGCGGAAUAGGUCACGAGUCUUUUAGGAAGGAUAAGAGUCAUGGACCUAGAUUCCACUCUGAAGGUAACGACAAGGCUAAGAACUUGUAUAGUGCUGACACUGCAGAGAGUGGAGAGAGUGAUGUAAAUGAUCCUGCCGAUAGGCAUAAGACAUCCCCCUGCUCACCAAGUUCUGAUAGAUAUAGAGAUGAUGGAUUUGUGAGGGAAAGAUCUCCGUCACAGAGCAGUUUACCCUAUGGAGGCUCACCUUUAAAACGAAGAAACCAUAUGGAAAGGGAGUCCUUAUAUUUUUCCGAGAAAAGCAAGAUUGAAUAUGAUUCCGAUGAUCAUAAUAUGACUCGGCGAAGCAAGGAUAAAUUGCAUAGCACUGGAGAUAUUGUGAAGGACAAGGAAAGGGAAAGGAUUUACUCUAACAGAAGGUAUGGUGGCAUGGAGGAUCAGCAUUACAGCAGGGAGAGGAGCAUCGAAGAUAAAAGCAUGGGGAGUGCUUAUGACGCAGUAGAUAGGAGGAGGGAAGAACGAGAAAAAAGCAAAGAUAGGGAUGUGGACCGGGCCCAUAGAAGGAGAAGUGAACGUGAAAGGAGCAAAGAUAGGGAUGUUGACAGGGACUAUAGAAAGAAAAGUGCACGAGAACGGAGCAUUGGCAGGGAGGUUGAGUGGGAUAGGGGAAGAGACAGAGAAAGAGAAAUGAGCAGGGAGAGGGACUUGGAGAGGGAUAGGAGAAGAGAUAGAGAAAGAGAAAUGAGCAGGGAGAGGGAUAGGGAUAGGAGAAGAGAGAGAGAAAGAGAAAUGAGCUGGGAGACUGACAUUGAUAGGGAUAGAAGAAGAGAAAUAGAAAGAGAAAGGAGCUGGGAGAGGGACAUGGAUAGGGAUAGAAGAAGAGAGAAGAAGAGGGAGAGGAGUACAGAGAGGGAUAGAGAGAGAGAUAGAAGAAGGGAAAGAGAAAGAGAAAGAGAAAGGAGCUGGGAUAGGCCCGGAGAUGGUAGGAGAGACAAGGACAGAGAGAGAAUCAGAGAGAGGAGUAGGGAUAGGAGUUGGAAAUCAGAGCGGUUGGAUGAUGGAAAGAGGGAGGAACGUAGGGAUGGCCGGAGUGGUGACAAGUAUGAAAAUGCUGAAGAUAAUUAUUUUGAUAAGCAUGGAUAUUCAAAGCACCCAAGACGAAAUGAAGUGAAAGAUGACAUUGAUAGAAUAAGUAGAGGGGUUUCAACAAAAAUGAGCGCUGCAAGAGCUAGCACUAUGGAUGGUGAUAAAGAAGCACACAAUAGUGAUGAGCUUGAACAGGAUGACCUCGAUGGAAAGUUUUCAUUUGAGAUAGCUGAGCAGGAAGAGGAGGAUGUGAAUAGAAUUAAGGAAGAAAGUAGAAGACGAAGGCAAGCCAUUAUGGAGAAGUACAAGAAUUUGCAGCAGCAGCAGCAGGAGCAGCAGCAGCAGCAGCAGCAGGAGGAGCAGCAGCAGCAGCAGGAGCAGCAGCAGCAGCAGCAACAAGAAGAGCAUGUCCAGCCUCAAGUGGAGGAUGCGGUGGAAGACAAUGCACAUCCAGAAAAAUCAACAGCAGAAGUUCGUGGUAGUACUGCUGAAAAUGCAGAUGCAUCUGCUGCCGAACCGUCAUUUGCUAUUGGAAAAUCACCUCUUGGAAAUGGAGUUACUGCUAAUGACAGGACCUCUGGUGAAAGAGGUCUAGGAGAGGGAACACCGAAGAGUGAGGGAUCUGAUGACAUCUUCUGUGAUGAUAUAUUUGGAGAUUCACCCGCUGGGGCACGUAAGAUGGGUAAAGGAGGUGGUUUACCUGUCGAAAGGAGUGGUCUCCAUGACAAUUGGGAUGAUGCUGAGGGAUACUAUAGCUAUCGAUUUGGUGAGAUACUUGAUGGCCGAUAUGAAGUUAUUGCUGCACAUGGGAAGGGAGUUUUUUCGACUGUAGUUCGUGCGAAAGAUUUGAAGGCUGGCAUUGGUGAACCAGAAGAAGUGGCAAUAAAAAUACUGCGAAAUAAGGAGGCCAUGUACAAGGCUGGUGUCGAGGAGCUUGGCAUAUUGAAAAAAUUAGUAGGUGCAGAUCCUGAAGACAAGCGGCACUGCGUUCGUUUACUUUCCAGUUUUAAAUACCGCAAUCAUCUUUGCCUAGUUUUUGAAUCUCUUAAUAUGAACCUGCGUGAAGUUUUAAAGAAGUUUGGUCGCAAUAUUGGUCUUAAAUUAACUGCUGUUAGGGCUUAUGCGAAGCAACUCUUUAUUGCUCUGAAGCAUCUCCGAAACUGUGGUGUUCUUCAUUGUGAUAUAAAGCCUGAUAACGUGCUGGUUAACGAGGCAAAAAAUGUGUUGAAGCUUUGUGAUUUUGGAAAUGCCAUGUAUGCUGGGAAGAAUGAAAUCACACCAUAUCUUGUGAGUCGCUUUUAUCGUGCCCCAGAAAUCAUUCUUGGCUUGCCUUACGAUCAUCCAUUGGAUAUGUGGUCUGUGGGUUGCUGUUUAUAUGAGCUUUAUGCUGGGAAAGUUCUUUUUCCUGGCCCUACCAACAAUGACAUGCUUCGUCUACACAUGGAAUUGAAAGGCCCUUUUCCAAAGAAACUGCUUCGAAAGGCAGCAUUUGCAGACCAGCAUUUUGAUGCAGACCUGAAUUUCCUUGCUAUAGAAGAGGAUUCUGUCACCAAAAAGAGCAUAAGGAGAAUGAUUCUCAACAUCAAGCCUAAGGAUAUUGGGUCGAUUAUCAAGGGUUCUUCUGGUGAGGAUCCAAAGAUGUUAGCAAACUUCAAGGAUCUUCUAGACAAAAUUUUUGUAUUGGAUCCGGACAAGAGGAUGACCGUACAACAAGCUUUGAAUCAUCCUUUCAUCACUGGCAAGUGAAACAUGUUGCUGAUUUUUGACUCAGAAUGCUGUUGCACUUGAUAAUUGUCUUUGGAAGAUAAUUCUCAUUCAGAAUAUCUAAUCGUUCCGGCAUUAUCUUUGCUUAAUUGCCUGUGCUGGAAGAAGCGCUUCAAGGGGGGUUUAUGCCAUUAUUGAAGGGGGAUGACAUUUGUUCAAGAAUACACUUUACUGGCGGUUCUUUCAGUGGAAUGUACUGUUCCUAUUGAUCUCUCCCACUGCUUUGAGGCAACCUUCCAGUGUUUAAUUGCUUUACAAAGGCACCCUGGAGAAGGUACCUUGGUUUGUUGAUUGGGAGCUUGUUGUGAAACCUUGAAACUACUAAUUAGUGCUCUUUGCUAUAUAUUGUACCCACUUUGCCUAAGCCAUCAUGAUUGUGAGUCACAUGAGCUGUGCGGGCUUGAUAAAUGUCAUCGUAUAGGGAAAAUUGAAAAGGUUUUAUUUCGAUGCUAUAUCAUGAUCCCUUAUAUAUAAUCGCUCUAAUUGUUAGGGGGUCAUUGAAAGUGGAUGUGACAAUUCCCUCUUAGUGUUUGUAAUUUGCAUCAAACUGAUGUCUUUGUUAUCUGUUUCUCUAAUUAUAAGUGAGGAGAUUUUAUUAGCCAUUCUUUUUUGUGUGAUUUUCCCUUGCUUUUUGUAUCAUAUAUGUACAUAGCCUAAUCAAGUUAUGUUACAUCUGAUCCAUGGACUAAUGCUCUGGAGGCUAUUACGCUGGAGACAUAUCGCAGCAGCCUUCAAAGUGGAAGGAUGCGUCCGGCACAGGUUCCAUGCUUCUGCGAGUCUCGUAAGUAUCUUCCUAUCCUGUAGGUAAUCAUCACCCGUGCCAGUUAAGAUUCCUCUCUUUCUUCUUUCCCUCGCUAGUAUUAGAUUCUUCUGUCAGUCUAUAUUUUAGUCUUUUAAAUGCUCUAUGUUUAACAUAUGUUAGCAGUUAGUAAGGUGUCAUUGCUGGCCUUCAUAUGGGGAAUGAGAAUGUGGGGUUGAUUUUGUAGUCCCUGCUAGCUGAGUUGUGAUCCCAAAAUUACGGGGCUGUAAGCAACUCGAUUGGGUGAAUGAGUAUUGAAAGUUUAGAGAAAAAUACAUCCAUUUAGAGUAAUGGACUUUUACUGGACAUCUUAUGACAAAAGCAGUUUUACUUUGUGUGUGAAUAACUGAACUUUUUAUUACUUGGCAAAGGGUUAUAAGUCGUCUAGUUUGAAUGGUGCAACUUUUUUUAUUACUGUACUGUACUGGACUGCAAAUGUGCAUGGAUCUCUACAUGUUGUCAUUUAUCAUCCCUCUGUUUUUGAUUUUCAAAGGAUCAUUCUGUACUGGACUUCCUUUUUUGUAGCGAGACAUGGUGAAUACUUGAGGCUCUUUAUGAGCACUUGAGCAUUCUUAUUUGUCCUGUAAGCCAAGUGUUAGGUGGGUCUUAUGCAGGGUGUUAAGGAAAAAUGUAAUGGACAAUGGAUAGUGACUUGCCUUUGUGUUUAGGUGGACUGUUCUUACUAAGAUCCUAGAGGUCCUGGUCUCGAAUCAUACCUUCCAGACCCCUUCACAAAAAGAGAGAGUUGGUUAAAUGAAUUUGGGUAAUUUUGGAGAAUGAUACUGGCAAUUAACAAUGUUAAUGUAAAGGGGGUUCAUUAAUGCAAUAGAGGGUUUGAGAAGAUGUCCUGUCCUGAACAAAAUACAAACUUCUCUGCAGUUGCAGACUUUACAGACAAGUGUUUCACAGUUUAAGAGACAGCUAAAUCAUUGCCUUUGUAUGAAAUAAAAAUUCCCUGCUGACAAGCUUAGAAGAGGAAAGAUAGCAACCUAUUGAAACAUAAGACUUUGGACAGUCUGGUGGCGAUGUCUAUGCUGCUUAUUUGUCAUCCAUAUCACUGGGCAUUACAAAUUUUACAUCAUUAUAAACUUGCUUCUGUUUCACUCCAUCCUCUAACAACUGUGGCUCUGCAUUUUCCCCCACCCCCUUGCCAAUGUAUUACUGGAGAGGUGAACACUAGAUAAGGAAGAUUUAUAGACAUCCACAGCAAUUGCUUUAGAAGUGCUUCUUCUCCAUUAGACUGCCAAACGUUUUCUGUGUGAAGAGCCAGGAGGUCAUUGAUUAAUUUUACGAGAGUUAUUUUGAAUAUAUUUAGGCCGAGGGUUAUAAGUUGUCCACCCAAAGAGAAAGGGAGGGAGGGUGGGGGCAGCAUUUUAUUUGCCUUCCACUGCAUCUUAACAUGCUUCAUAGCAACAUAGGGAUAACUAGUCCGAUAAUGACAAGUUUAAUUUGGAGAUUCAUUUCCAGUUUUAUAACAUUUAGGUCAAUGGUAAUGAGUUCUCCCCCUCCCUGCUCUCUCUGUCUGUGCGCUUGUGUGUGUGAGGGCAUGCAAAGAAGAUGCACUGCAACGAUUUAUGUGACUUAGUUUCUUCUUACACACGUCUUAUCUGCACCAAGUGCAGAUGAUAAAUUGUUUCCAAUGGGUAGGGUCAAAUACUCCUUGUCGUGUAGAGUCAGGGACUCAGGUUAGUCAAACUCAACAAAAAUGGAACGAAGUCCUAUAAGGGGAACUCUUGACCAUGGAUCACUUGGUUCAUGGAAGAAAACUUGGAUCUCGAACAUCUGUAGUCUAAUGUGCUCAUUAGGUUAAGCUUCUAAUUUGAAUAUGUAUAGUGUCCAUAUAAAUGUUUUAAUCACAGUUCCGAAGAUGGUUAAAUUUAGACAAAAACCACAAAUUACUAACCUUUAUGUAACAUUGUCGAUUCUAUUCUGUUCCUUCAAUUGGUGCAAUCAAUUUGCUAAAUAACUUCUCAAAAAAUUGCACUGAAGUCCUCUCGAGAAAUGGCUAUUGCUACCAUGCAGCUUAAAGAAUCCUAUAGUUUGCAAUAUACAUUAUUCCAUGCGGUUUGGAAGGUGAUCACUGUAUCUGGUGAAGCAUUUUGGGGGGUAUUCACUCAGCCCUUGCUGGGAGAUUCCAAAUUUUGUCUGAUCAAAACCACGACUUCACUUUUGCCGUCUACACGACAUCCUUGAGAUGGGAGAUGAGUGGCCUUUGUUAUUACAUCAUAUUUGCUGAAAAGAAAAAUCAUAAUUAUCGAGAGUCAAUCACCUGCAAUAUCUUGUGGUUUCCUUGCGUUGCUCAUUGAUUUAUAUAUUAAUGUUCAUCUCUGCCUUUUUCUUGCUUUUUCUAACUGUUUUGGUGGAUUAAUAUUUGAAUUUGAGUGCCUGAUGUUCUAAUGAGGCAAUUCACAAUUAUCAAUAUGUUUUCCUGGUCGAUGGUUAUAAUGGAGGUGAGCUAUGCUGGUUGUCAUCUUGAAUGUGCCGAAAGUGGUGCUUUAUUUUAUAGUACUCUGCAAGUAGUUGUGUCGCACAAGAGAAGCCAUCUGUAAAGGCUCGUGAGUUAAGUUUUAUAAGAAAAGAAAAUCUGAGCCGGAGUCAAGUGUAAUUGUAUUGGCCGGGUAAUUAUAUGUAAGUAAUUUAUCGUGUGGUACGCCUAAGGUACCCUUUGAAAUAUUUGUUGAGCUCUGCUUGGUUAUGUCUCCGAGCAUGGUUUUCUUUUCCUUUUUUCUCCUCUAUUCAAUGUAUAGAUUUUUCUAAAA